Molecule: ribosomal RNA, 556 nt
Filed under: Listeria monocytogenes
Lineage: Bacteria; Bacillati; Bacillota; Bacilli; Caryophanales; Listeriaceae
Description: partial 23S ribosomal RNA
Rfam family: Bacterial large subunit ribosomal RNA
Source: RNAcentral
UAUACUCGGGAGUCAGACUGCGAGUGAUAAGAUCCGUAGUCGAAAGGGAAACAGCCCAGACCACCAGUUAAGGUCCCCAAAUAUAUGUUAAGUGGAAAAGGAUGUGGGGUUGCUUAGACAACCAGGAUGUUGGCUUAGAAGCAGCCACCAUUGAAAGAGUGCGUAAUAGCUCACUGGUCGAGUGACCCCGCGCCGAAAAUGUACCGGGGCUAAACAUAUUACCGAAACUGUGGAUGAACCUCUUUAGAGGUUCGUGGUAGGAGAGCGUUCUAAGGGCGGUGAAGUCAGACCGGAAGGACUGGUGGAGCGCUUAGAAGUGAGAAUGCCGGUAUGAGUAGCGAAAGAAGGGUGAGAAUCCCUUCCACCGAAUAUCUAAGGUUUCCUGAGGAAGGCUCGUCCGCUCAGGGUUAGUCGGGACCUAAGCCGAGGCCGAUAGGCGUAGGCGAUGGACAACAGGUAGAGAUUCCUGUACCAGUGCUAAUUGUUUAACCGAUGGGGUGACACAGAAGGAUAGGGAAUCGCACGAAUGGAAAUGUGCGUCCAAGCAGUGAGUGUG